GUGCCAGCCGCCGCGGUAAGACGUAGGGCGCGAGCGUUGUCCGGAUUUAUUGGGCGUAAAGAGCUCGUAGGCGGCUUGUCGCGUCGUCCGUGAAAACCUGCAGCUCAACUGCAGGCUUGCGGUCGAUACGGGCAGGCUGGAGUUCGGUAGGGGAGACUGGAAUUCCUGGUGUAGCGGUGAAAUGCGCAGAUAUCAGGAGGAACACCGGUGGCGAAGGCGGGUCUCUGGGCCGAUACUGACGCUGAGGAGCGAAAGCGUGGGGAGCGAACAGGAUUAGAUACCCCCGUAGUCC
Molecule: ribosomal RNA, 292 nt
Filed under: uncultured bacterium
Lineage: Bacteria
Description: partial 16S ribosomal RNA
Rfam family: Bacterial small subunit ribosomal RNA
Source: RNAcentral